Molecule: ribosomal RNA, 745 nt
Filed under: uncultured bacterium
Lineage: Bacteria
Description: bacterial SSU rRNA
Rfam family: Bacterial small subunit ribosomal RNA
Source: RNAcentral
ACACAUGCAAGUCGAGGGGCAGCAUCAUCAAAGCUUGCUUUGAUGGAUGGCGACCGGCGCACGGGUGAGUAACACGUAUCCAACCUGCCGACAACACUGGGAUAGCCUUUCGAAAGAAAGAUUAAUACCGGAUGGCAUAGUUUUCCCGCAUGGGAUAAUUAUUAAAGAAUUUCGGUUGUCGAUGGGGAUGCGUUCCAUUAGGCAGUUGGCGGGGUAACGGCCCACCAAACCAACGAUGGAUAGGGGUUCUGAGAGGAAGGUCCCCCACAUUGGAACUGAGACACGGUCCAAACUCCUACGGGAGGCAGCAGUGAGGAAUAUUGGUCAAUGGACGAGAGUCUGAACCAGCCAAGUAGCGUGAAGGAUGACUGCCCUAUGGGUUGUAAACUUCUUUUAUACGGGAAUAAAGUUAGCCACGUGUGGCUUUUUGUAUGUACCGUAUGAAUAAGGAUCGGCUAACUCCGUGCCAGCAGCCGCGGUAAUACGGAGGAUCCGAGCGUUAUCCGGAUUUAUUGGGUUUAAAGGGAGCGUAGGCGGGUUGUUAAGUCAGUUGUGAAAGUUUGCGGCUCAACCGUAAAAUUGCAGUUGAUACUGGCGACCUUGAGUGCAACAGAGGUAGGCGGAAUUCGUGGUGUAGCGGUGAAAUGCUUAGAUAUCACGAAGAACUCCGAUUGCGAAGGCAGCUUACUGGAUUGUAACUGACGCUGAUGCUCGAAAGUGUGGGUAUCAAACAGGAUUAGAUACC